Molecule: ribosomal RNA, 465 nt
Filed under: uncultured bacterium
Lineage: Bacteria
Description: partial 16S ribosomal RNA
Rfam family: Bacterial small subunit ribosomal RNA
Source: RNAcentral
CUACGGGAGGCAGCAGUGAGGAAUAUUGCGCAAUGGGGGAAACCCUGACGCAGCGACGCCGCGUGGAUGAUGAAGGCCUUCGGGUCGUAAAAUCCUGUCAGAAGGAAAGAAGUACAUGGUAGCUAAUAUCUAUCAUGUUUGACGGUACCUUCAAAGGAAGCACCGGCUAACUCCGUGCCAGCAGCCGCGGUAAUACGGAGGGUGCAAGCGUUGUUCGGAAUUACUGGGCGUAAAGCGCGCGUAGGCGGCUUUGUAAGUCAGAUGUGAAAGCCCAUGGCUCAACCAUGGACGUGCAUUUGAUACUGAAAGGCUUGAGUACUGGAGGGGGUGGUGGAAUUCCCGGUGUAGAGGUGAAAUUCGUAGAUAUCGGGAGGAAUACCGGUGGCGAAGGCGACCAUCUGGCCAGAUACUGACGCUGAGGUGCGAAAGCGUGGGGAGCAAACAGGAUUAGAUACCCCGGUAGUC